This 544-nucleotide ribosomal RNA is filed under the name uncultured Glomeromycotina. Its description in RNAcentral is "SSU rRNA". It matches the Rfam family "Eukaryotic small subunit ribosomal RNA", at positions 548 to 1098 of the family's 1831-position model. Lineage: Eukaryota; Fungi; Glomeromycota. The record is from RNAcentral.
UUGGAGGGCAAGUCUGGUGCCAGCAGCCGCGGUAAUUCCAGCUCCAAUAGCGUAUAUUAAAGUUGUUGCAGUUAAAAAGCUCGUAGUUGAAUUUCGGGGUUCUACCGUUGGUCGGGCUUUGUCUGUACUGGUGUGUAGAAUUUCUACCUUCUGGGGAACCAUCAUGCUAUUAAUUUAGCGUGGUGGGAAACCAGGACCUUUACCUUGAAAAAAUUAGUGUGUUCAAAGCAGGCUUAUGUCUGAAUACAUUAGCGUGGAAUAAUAGAAUAGGACGGUGGUCCUGUUUUGUUGGUUUCUGAAUCACCGUAAUGAUUAAUAGGGAUAGUUGGGGGCAUUAGUAUUCAAUUGUCAGAGGUGAAAUUCUUGGAUUUAUUGAAGACUAACUUCUGCGAAAGCAUUUGCCAAGGAUGUUUUCAUUAAUCAAGAACGAAGGUUAGGGGAUCGAAGACGAUCAGAUACCGUCGUAGUCUUAACCAUAAACUAUGCCGACUAGGGAUCGGACGAUGUUAAUUUUUCUUGACUCGUUCGGCGCCUUACGGGAAAC